Molecule: long non-coding RNA, 249 nt
Filed under: Musa acuminata (dwarf banana)
Lineage: Eukaryota; Viridiplantae; Streptophyta; Magnoliopsida; Zingiberales; Musaceae
Description: long non-coding RNA (MACU_LNC011135)
Source: RNAcentral
ACAACCGCCCAAAGCAAUUCCCACAAUUGCUUAAAAGAUCGUCGCCGAAUUCCGCCAUCAUCUCCACCACCGCGGAUCAUCCUUUGAUCUCCCCGUGAAUUGCAACAGGUUCUAGUUUCCUACCUUACUGCUGCUGCAAUUUAAUUAUCCUUAUUCAAAAAAAAAAAAAAACUGUUCCUAUAUUGCUGCAUAAACCUUUCGUCACAAAGUUUUCAUCUCUACGACGAAAGAUACAUUGCAGAAUUCCAG